UGCGUAGGCGGAUUAAUAAGUCAGUGGUGAAAACCUUCAGCUUAACUGGAGAACUGCCAUUGAUACUGUUAGUCUUGAGUACGGUCAAGGUAGGCGGAAUGUGUAAUGUAGCGGUGAAAUGCUUAGAUAUUACACAGAACACCGAUUGCGAAGGCAGCUUACUGGGCCAUUACUGACGCUGAUGCACGAAAGCGUGGGGAGCGAACAGGAUUAGAUACCCUGGUAGUC
RNAcentral lists this ribosomal RNA (228 nucleotides) under uncultured bacterium. Its description in RNAcentral is "partial 16S ribosomal RNA". It matches the Rfam family "Bacterial small subunit ribosomal RNA", at positions 568 to 795 of the family's 1533-position model. The record is from RNAcentral.